Molecule: long non-coding RNA, 872 nt
Filed under: Monodelphis domestica (gray short-tailed opossum)
Lineage: Eukaryota; Metazoa; Chordata; Mammalia; Didelphimorphia; Didelphidae
Description: lncRNA (ENSMODG00000049122.1)
Source: RNAcentral
GACAUAGACUGACUAUGUGACCCCAGAGCAAGGCACCUAACAUUUCAGUGCUUGAGACAACUCACAAAGACUACAGAUUGCUCAGAAGAUGCCAACAUGCACUGGAAAAGAGUUUCUUCCUGUGCUAUCCUGGUCCCUCCAGUUGUAUAGGCAACUCCCUUCCCACAUUUUCUACAAGUCACUGACAUGAGACAUCUAUCAUGCAGUUGUCCUCAGUCUCUGUGACAUCCGUGCCAUAUGUUGGAAGCCUGGGUCCAGUGGCACAAAAGGUCGUUACACCUGGAGACUUCCUCAGCUGCAUUGGAUGGUCGUGUUGUCUUUUGUGCUCCAACAUGCCCUAAGCACUCCACAGUGCUUUGCUGCGUCGCCCUCUCAGCCGUUGAACCUUCUUGUUGGUUUCUUCCACCUGUUCCGCCGAAGCAGUCUUCACAUGCUGGUGAGCAAAGCCCUGGUUCACCAGGGGUCGACGACCCGAUGGCUACCCUCACAAGGUUUAACCGGCCUGUCAAUUACAAACAGACAAACACACAAAUAUAUAGAAUGAAAAAAAAUCUUAUUCAGUAGAGUUUAUAACCUGUGGGGGAGAUAAGAAGAUGCACAUACAUAAUAAUUGUAUACACACACACACACUUCUUGUUGUUCAGUCAUUUUUCAGUUAUAUCUGACUCUUCAUGACCUCAUUUGGGAUUUUCUUGGCAAAGAUACUGAAGUGGUUAGCCAUUGCUUCUCCAGCUUAUGAAGAAACUGAAAAAUUAGGUUAAGUGACUUGCCCAGGGUCACAUAGCUAGUAAAUAUCAGAGGCCUGAUUUGAACUCAGAAGUUUUCUUCUUGUCUCUAAGCCCAACACUGUGCCACCUAGCUCUGUAUAUACA